This 441-nucleotide ribosomal RNA is filed under the name uncultured delta proteobacterium. Its description in RNAcentral is "bacterial SSU rRNA". It matches the Rfam family "Bacterial small subunit ribosomal RNA", at positions 162 to 523 of the family's 1533-position model. The record is from RNAcentral. Lineage: Bacteria; Deltaproteobacteria.
GCUAAUACCGCAUAAGACCACGACCUCCCUGGAGGUUGCGAUCAAAGGUAGCCUCAUCACACAGAGCGUUUGGGAGCAUCCUUUCAGCUGAGAGGGCGCUCCCCAGCGCUUUGUCAGUGAAGCUGCCGCUCGAAGAGGGGCCCGCGGCCCAUCAGCUAGUUGGUAGGGUAAUGGCCUACCAAGGCGACGACGGGUAGCUGGUCUAAGAGGACGACCAGCCACACGGGAAUUGAGAUACGGUCCCGACUCCUACGGGAGGCAGCAGUCGGGAAUUUUGCUCAAUGGGCGCAAGCCUGAAGCAGCAACGCCGCGUGCGGGAUGAAGGCCUUCGGGUUGUAAACCGCUUUCGGCCGGAACGAAAUCGCCGGGGAGAACAUCUCCGGUGGAUGACGGUACCGGAAGAAGAAGCACCGGCUAACUACGUGCCAGCAGCCGCGGUAA